Molecule: ribosomal RNA, 409 nt
Filed under: uncultured bacterium
Lineage: Bacteria
Description: bacterial SSU rRNA
Rfam family: Bacterial small subunit ribosomal RNA
Source: RNAcentral
UUAUCCGGAUUUAUUGGGUUUAAAGGGAGCGUAGGCGGACGUUUAAGUCAGUUGUGAAAGUUUGCGGCUCAACCGUAAAAUUGCAGUUGAUACUGGGUGUCUUGAGUACAGUAGAGGCAGGCGGAAUUCGUGGUGUAGCGGUGAAAUGCUUAGAUAUCACGAAGAACUCCGAUUGCGAAGGCAGCUUGCUGGACUGUAACUGACGCUGAUGCUCGAAAGUGUGGGUAUCAAACAGGAUUAGAUACCCUGGUAGUCCACACAGUAAACGAUGAAUACUCGCUGUUUGCGAUAUACAGUAAGCGGCCAAGCGAAAGCGUUAAGUAUUCCACCUGGGGAGUACGCCGGCAACGGUGAAACUCAAAGGAAUUGACGGGGGCCCGCACGAGCGGAGGAACAUGUGGUUUAAUUC